AAGCAGCCAACAACUUCCGUUCGUCUUCGACCUCCGAACUCUGACGCUAUUGGUCGAGAGAGGCACGCGCAACAUCAGGACGGCAUCCUCGAUGGUUCCAAUUUCCAGCCCAUUCCCCAAUUUUCAACCCCAAUGACAGACAACACACGCAGGAAUGGCUGUUUAGCUAAAGAAGGGAAUUGUUUCACUUCCUGUGCUACCCAAAGAAUGGAGCGAGGCCGACACUGCACAGCCUGGCAGAGAGAAGAGAGGGAGCGAGGAGAUAGAGAGACAGACUGAGUAAGUCACAUGAAGAUGAAGACUGUAGGAAAGUAAACAGAGCAGAGGAAGGGGAGAGAAAAAGGAGAAAAGAGGAGGGGGGAAAUCUCUAGCUAGAUCUAAGGUGCACAGACAUGAAGGCACAUACGUCCUUUAUCCACCUAAUAUAGAACAUGACAUGUGGUUUACAAAGGAAAUGAAAGGAUUUUGGACCCGGACUUCUCCUGCUGGCUGAGCUCUUCUCAGGUAAAGGCUGAAACUGCAGAGCAACAAACCAAACUCAAGUCACAAAUGCAAUAAUGCAUAACUCAAUCAUUGCUGCGAUGUUAUCGAAAGACACAAUUUGGCAUCGCUGUUUUCCCCUAAAUCGAAUUAAACCACUGGACAAAACAACUGAAUGACAAUUGCUAAGGCAUACCUACAUUUGCAUAAAGUCUCCUUUUUUUCCACGUGUAGAAGUAACUUAAUAUGCCACGGUACUUCCUGGGAAAUUCUGCGUGCUUAUUAAGCCAGAUACUGCUUUUGCUAAAGGCUUGCCAAGCCAGUAGUUUACACCAUAUUACAACAACAAGCUUAAAAUGUCAAUCAUGCUCAUUUCUCAAGUCUUUUUCUCACUCCCUGGACAUUAGUGGGAUUUUGUGUAAAUAUUUUUCUGUUUCUAUGUCAGUAAAUCUGUCAAAACAUGAUAUUGUGGUAAAAGGCCAAAGACAACUUGCCACUGCCACAGACAUUUCCAGUGACAAUCACUAACAACCUGGCCUGCAAAUACACUUCCCUUUAGCUCAAUCCCUCUCCUUAAUUCUCUGUCUUCUGCUUCUCUAGAGGGGUCUAUUCCCACAGUUUCCCAUUGUAAUAGUUUUUGGCAUAUUACUCUGCACGAUUCCACCCCAGAGGUCUCCCAUAAUUCACUUUUGAUAUCAUUGUUUAGUAGUAGAAUUAGAGGAGGGGUGCACAUUGGGAACAGGCAAUCUGAAUUGGCAGUGGGACAUUAAUACAUUCAUUCUAGUUUGAUAUGAUAGGAUGUGUUUAGUGCAGUCGGGAAUUGUGCAGUUUUAGAGUUUGUGCAGGAUUAGGUUCACCAAUAAAAUAAAAAAAUAUAUAUAUAUU
Molecule: long non-coding RNA, 1365 nt
Organism: Sphaeramia orbicularis (orbiculate cardinalfish)
Lineage: Eukaryota; Metazoa; Chordata; Actinopteri; Kurtiformes; Apogonidae
Exons: 3
Source: RefSeq, a predicted model, not a curated record